This 1155-nucleotide ribosomal RNA is filed under the name Pariaconus pele. Its description in RNAcentral is "16S ribosomal RNA". Lineage: Eukaryota; Metazoa; Arthropoda; Insecta; Hemiptera; Triozidae. The record is from RNAcentral.
AUUAAAUUAUAAUUUUUUUAAUUAUGUUUAUAUGUAUUUACUAUUAAUUAAUUGUGUAAGGGGGCAUUAUUAUUUUUUAGUUAACACAUAAUUUGUACCUUUUGUAUCAGGGUUAAUUAAUUUUACAAAUUAGUUUAAUUUCUCGAAAAAGAAAGAUUUAAUUUAAUUAAUUUACUAAUGUUUCAUAAUUAGUACUUAAUUUAUUUUAGAUUUGAUAAAAAUUUAAUUUUUUUAUAUCUAGUUGCUUUAUUUUUAAUUUAAUUAAGUUAAUUCAAGUAUGGGGGUAUUUGAGUUAAUUAAAUUUAUAGGGAUAAGCUUGUAAAAUUGAUGAAAGUUAGGGGGUAAUUGUAUUUUGUGUCUUUAGAAAUAGGAAUCAUUAUAAUUUGUAAAAAUAAUUUAGAAAUAUUUAAUUUUUUGAAAAAAACUUUAAUUAGGGGGUAAAGUUAUAUAAAUUAAUAAAUAUUUUUGAUUAAUAAUAAUUAAAUUAGUAGAACAAAAAAUAUUAACUAAGAAUUCGGCAAAUAUAAUUUUCAACUGUUUACCAAAAACAUUUCUGGGGGGAAAAUAUUUUUGGUGUAGCCUGCUCCAUGCUUAUGUAAAUAGCUGCAGUAUUUUGACUGUACAAAGGUAGCAUAAUAAUUAGUCUUUUAAUUGAAGGCUUGUAUGAAUGGUUGAAUGUAAUAUUAUCUUUUUUGUUUAUAUGGGUAUUGAAUUUAAUUUUUGAGUUAAAAAGCUUAAUUGAUUAAAAGGGACGAGAAGACCCUAUAGAAUUUCAUAAUUAUUUUGAAUUUAAUAUUUUUUAGUUGGGGUGACUUGAAAUUAACUUUUCUUUUUUAUUCAUUAUUUGAUGAUUUUUAGAUCCUAAAAUGGUAGGUAUAAAGAUAAAAUUACCUUAGGGAUAACAGCAUAAUUUUUUUUUUAAGAACAUAUUUAUAAAAUAGUUUAUGACCUCGAUGUUGAAUUAAAUAUUAUAUAAAUGUAGAAGUUUAUAUAUUAAGUCUGUUCGACUUAAAUUAUUUACAUGAUUUGAGUUCAGACCGGCGUGAGCCAGGUUGGUUUCUAUCUUUUUAUAAUUUAUGUGGUUUAGUACGAAAGGAUCAACUAAUAAAAUUUUUAUUUAUUUCUAAGAAUAAAAUUAAUUUGACAUUACCUAUU